CGUAGGACGCGAGCGUUGUGCCGAAUUAUUGAACGUAAUGAGCUCGUAGGCGGCUGUUCGCGUCCGUCGUGAAAUCCUCUGACUUAACUGGGGACUUGCGGUGGGUACGGACCGGCCUGAGUGCGGUAGGGGAGACUGGAACUCCCUGUGUAGCGGUGGAAUGCGCAGAUAUCAGGAAGAACACCGGUGGCGAAGGCGGGUCUCUGGCCCGUUACUGACGCUGAGGAGCGAAAGCGUGGGGAGCAACAGGAUUAGAUACCCUGGUAGUCCACGCCGUAAACGUUGGGCACUAGGUGUGGGGGGCCUUUUCCGGGUCUUCCGCGCCGUAGCUAACGCAUUAAGUGCCCCGCCUGGGGAGUACGGCCGCAAGGCUAAAACUCAAAGGAAUUGACGGGGGCCCGCACAAGCGGCGGAGCAUGCGGAUUAAUUCGAUGCAACGCGAAGAACCUUACCAAGGCUUGACAUGUGCCGGUCGGCUCCGGAGACGGGGCUUCCUCCUUGUGGGGCCGGUUCACAGGUGGUGCAUGGUUGUCGUCAGCUCGUGUCGUGAGAUGUUGGGUUAAGUCCCGCAACGAGCGCAACCCUUGUCCCGUGUUGCCAGCACGUUGUGGUGGGGACUCGCGGGAGACUGCCGGGGUCAACUCGGAGGAAGGUGGGGAUGACGUCAAAUCAUCAUGCCCCUUAUGUCUUGGGCUUCACGCAUGCUACAAUGGCCGGUACAGAGGGCUGCGAUACCGUGAGGUGGAGCGAAUCCCUUAAAGCCGGUCUCAGUUCGGAUCGGUGUCUGCAACUCGACACCGUGAAGUUGGAGUCGCUAGUAAUCGCAGAUCAGCAACGCUGCGGUGAAUACGUUCUCGGGCCUUGUACACACCGCCCGUCACGUCAUGAAAGUCGGCAACACCCGAAGCCC
Molecule: ribosomal RNA, 910 nt
Filed under: Actinomyces oris
Lineage: Bacteria; Bacillati; Actinomycetota; Actinomycetes; Actinomycetales; Actinomycetaceae
Description: bacterial SSU rRNA
Rfam family: Bacterial small subunit ribosomal RNA
Source: RNAcentral